AGUAGUGAUGAGAGGGAUAGUUUGGGAAAUGAUGUUUGUUUGUAGGGAUAGAAUUGUAAAUUAAUGAUGGGUGUUUUAUGGGUGUAGACUGUAGUCGCUUUUAAUGCCCACAUAGUAUGAUAGAAUCGAAUUCUUUUUCUUUUGUCUUUUCUCCAUUUUCACCUUUCCUACAUAUUUUUGGGGGUUUUCUUCUUUAGUUUUUCAGUUUUUAGGGAUUCAGAGCAGUGCAUGGUUGUACCAUAUGUUCAAAUCUAUUUCCGAAAUGAAUUCAGUAGAGUUUCUAGGAACCCACACUUGUCUACUUUAUCAAUGUUCACUUCCCUAAUUCGCCAUUCCUUCGUGAUAAAGCUGAUUGAUUUUGUUAUGAUGUUUCGCUAGUAACAGAUGCGCUAGGGUUUACCCAUGGCUGGCAUGUUAGUUUUGCUCAGCAGAGUGGGCAGACGGUGCACGCACCCGGGGGCGUAAUACAGGACGCGUCAUAUUCACGUUGCAGGCAUGAGGCGGUUGCGUAAGAUGAAGUUCUUGGUAGGAUGAAGUAUGGGAUACGACCUUUAUAUGCAAGGCAUUGUACGUGAGCUUAUUGGGUAAACCUUCUUUUUGGAUUCUCCCUAGUAAGUGAUGGAGCAAUAUUUAUGGUUCCUGAAAUACUAGUUGGUUCAUAAAAUUUGGAGAAACAUGAUGACUGCAUUCUGAAGUUGGUUUACGGGCUCACAAUUGAUGGCACUGGGAGUAUCAUCCAGUAUACUUGACACCCUUUGGUGUUCAAUCAUCGCUGACUUGCCUUACUUUAGUAUCAUGGGCAACUUACCUCUUUGCUGCCAUGAUAAUGUGCUUAAGCUUCUUUUCGGCUCGCUUUCAGCACCCAGCUCCUGAAUGUACUUGUUGGAAGAAUGUUAAUAUUUCGUAAGAAGUACAUUUUCUUGUUUGGAUCAAAAUAGAGGUCGAUGAGAACUUAAAGACAUGCCUGACUGAGCAUAUACGAAGCAUGUCUCCAGUGAAAUGCAGAGUAACCGAGGCUACGUCUCUCCAGCCCUUCCACCAGCUUGAUGAAUAGGGAAUUACAAGCUGGUUCAUUCGCAAAAUAAGCGUACAUGUUGUCUUCAGACCCUCAGCUUGUCCAAUGUAAUCAGAAGCCAACUUGCAGAGAUUUGGGCAUUCUCUUCUAUCACCAAACCCCAAAUGUCUGGCUGCUCGUGUACAUGCAGAAACACAGGACACACUGUUAAGGAUCUAAAUGAUGUCCAUGUCUAGACAUCCAUGUAAGGUGUGUAAGAUGCAAUUUUCUUCUAGUUGGUUUUUGUUGACCGUAUACAAAGGAUUCAAUUACGUAUACAAUUACCUACAUAGUGAGAGAACCUUUCAAUGCUCAAGACUUGGUCAGUCGCAACUUUUAUAUCGGUAAUGAUCCAUUGAUCUCGAAUUUUCUUGAGGAGAUAAUGCGUUGCCGCUGCCAUGACUAAUAACGCUACAAGGAUCUGCGUAUAUGUGAGUUUGGUGUUGGCAUUGAUAUAAUCUGGUGAAAGAAGAUAAUAGAGUCAUAGAUUAUUCAUGUAAAUGAUUAUGUCAUGCUUUUUCACAGGAAAAAUGUUGUUUAGUGCAACAUUGAUGAAGUGGAGAAUUUACCUCUCUGCAUGUCUCAGUUAUGGGAGGAGGAGAAAGAGAACUUUCCUGUUACAUUGGAGAAUUGGAUGUACUCCCUUUCUUGCGAAUUUUGUUUAUUUGUCAACUUUAUGGCAUGGAUUUAAAUCGGAUUAUGGCCUGCGCAACUGAUUUUAACCCUGACUGUGGAUAUCAACAUGUCCUCUGAUAUUUUAUGCAAUUGCAGAAAUGCAUAAUCUAAAACGGGUCUUCGCCAAUUCGGAAUGAGACAAAAUAUUUCAGAAUUGCCAGAUACUCGGAAUAUGAGCUUGCAUCAGAUCUUCUAUAAAUUGCUUACUAGCCUAGAUUGGAAACCUACACUUCAUGCAGUAUGUCAUUAGUUGGCACAGACGAUAUAAUACGGUUGUGCAAACAUCACCUAUUUUCAUACGGAAGAGAUACCGAAUGUGGAUAUGGGAAUAGUACAACAAUAUAACACGUCAUUUCUGUUGUCGUCUACUAACAGGCGUGUGGGAAACGGGUAUCAAUCUGGAUAUGCACCUACAUUGUAAAUUGUGGUAUGUUAUCUAAUAAAAUAUACUUUAUUUCAAACACGUUUUCUUUCACAUUAAAACUUAUUAUUUUCUACAUUCUUAAGUCUGAAUAGCUUUAAUCCCUCCAAUUAAGUUGUCAACCUAGACCAUAGGAUACGGAAGGGUACAUUGUACUGAUUUGAGAAAACAUUUCAAAAUUUUGUUGAGUUCAUCAAUCAGAUUCAACAAAAUGCAACGACAUCUGAGAAUGCCCCUGGCAUGCCCCACAAGCAAAGAAGAAGUUGUAAUCGAAUGUCUAUUGAUUUAGUUGAACGUGAUACUGUUGAGGUGGAUAUAAUUGGUCCUUCUACAGCGUAUACACCUCAAGAUUCCUACGUGCCUCAACCGCCACAAGAUAAUUGGUUUGAAUCAGCUCUAUAUAUGUCAAGACAUUGCAGAAGCUUAUUUUUACACGAUCCUGACCUUGAUCUUGGCAUUAAUCAAUCAUAUGCACUUGGAUAUAACAUUUCAUCAAUUCUAAUUCCAUAAUUUAAUGUGUAUCGGGAUUAUAUAGAGUCUAGUUCUGCAACAUCAUUAAGUUGGUUACACAUUAAUGCCGGUGAUGAUGAUAAUGAUGGACAAAAUGAGUCAACACAAGAUGUGGGUGAUGAAAUAAGAAGAUGCCGGCGCCA
Molecule: non-coding RNA, 2803 nt
Organism: Sesamum indicum (sesame)
Lineage: Eukaryota; Viridiplantae; Streptophyta; Magnoliopsida; Lamiales; Pedaliaceae
Source: RefSeq, a predicted model, not a curated record